UAGUAAUCGCGGAUCAGCAUGCCGCGGUGAAUACGUUCCCGGGCCUUGUACACACCGCCCGUCACACCAUGGGAGUCGGUAACACCCGAAGCCUGUAGUCUAACCGUGAGGAGGACGCAGUCGAAGGUGGGAUUGAUGACUGGGGUGAAGUCGUAACAAGGUAUC
This 165-nucleotide ribosomal RNA is filed under the name uncultured bacterium. RNAcentral's name for it is "partial 16S ribosomal RNA". It matches the Rfam family "Bacterial small subunit ribosomal RNA", at positions 1336 to 1500 of the family's 1533-position model. The record is from RNAcentral.